RNAcentral lists this ribosomal RNA (461 nucleotides) under uncultured bacterium. Its description in RNAcentral is "bacterial SSU rRNA". It matches the Rfam family "Bacterial small subunit ribosomal RNA", at positions 57 to 507 of the family's 1533-position model. The record is from RNAcentral.
GCAAGUGGAGCGACGAACCGGGGCUUGCCCGGGGCAGAGCCGCGAACGGGUGAGUAACACGUGGGUAACCUGCCUCAAUGAUUGGGACAACCCGGGGAAACUCGGGCUAAUACCAAAUGUGUUCACUCCUUCAAGGGGAGUGAGGAAAGGAGCUUCGGCCUCCGCAUUGAGAUGGGCCCGCGGCCCAUUAGCUUUGUUGGUGAGGUAACGGCUCACCAAGGCUUCGAUGGGUAGCUGGUCUGAGAGGACGAUCAGCCACACUGGGACUGAGACACGGCCCAGACUCCUACGGGAGGCAGCAGUGGGGAAUCUUGCACAAUGCGCGAAAGCGUGAUGCAGCAACGCCGCGUGGGGAAGACGGCCUUCGGGUUGUAAACCCCUUUCAGUUGGGACGAAGCUUCGUCGGUGAAUAGCCGGUUGGAGUGACGGUACCUUCAGAAGAAGCCCCGGCUAACUACGUG